CAGCGAUGACAUAAAACUGCUUGUCACCGGAGAGAAAUCCUCUAAUAGUGAACCGAAUUUGCGAACGGGAUCGGCCAUUGUGCUGAGGAAGACCGCGUUGUGAAACACCCAUCGAGGAAAGUGUACCAGAAGCUGGAGUCAGCCGGCCAAACGGCGUUGAAGUGUUGCGAAUAGACCCGCGAAGGCGAAGGGCCAAUCGGUGUUCAAAGAGUGAGAUUCGUGGAAGACCCAGUCACCCGUCCGGGCCGCUUCUGAGUGUGCUGGUCGUUCGGGCCGAGUUUGGUGUACAGGAAGCCACCUACGCCUGAAGAAUUCAACCAAGUCCGGGUCAUCACAGCUUGCCCAAAAUGGUCGUCGGAAACGUCCUCCAAAAGGAACGGAUUUGGAGCCCGACCAAGCCGCAUCGAGCGUCGAUCGAAGCAACGCCCCGACGAUGAUCCAGUAACAGGUGUGUCCUUAUCCUUCUUUCCUAAAAUUUCGAUUUUGUACCGUGAAAUGGAAUUAUAACGUAAUUGAAAUGUAA
Molecule: long non-coding RNA, 523 nt
Organism: Aedes aegypti (yellow fever mosquito)
Lineage: Eukaryota; Metazoa; Arthropoda; Insecta; Diptera; Culicidae
Exons: 2
Source: RefSeq, a predicted model, not a curated record